AGAGUUUGAUCAUGGCUCAGAUUGAACGCUGGCGGCAGGCCUAACACAUGCAAGUCGAACGGUAACAGGAAGCGCUUGCUGCUUCGCUGACGAGUGGCGGACGGGUGAGUAAUGUCUGGGAAACUGCCUGAUGGAGGGGGAUAACUACUGGAAACGGUAGCUAAUACCGCAUAACGUCGCAAGACCAAAGAGGGGGACCUUCGGGCCUCUUGCCAUCGGAUGUGCCCAGAUGGGAUUAGCUUGUUGGUGGGGUAACGGCUCACCAAGGCGACGAUCCCUAGCUGGUCUGAGAGGAUGACCAGCCACACUGGAACUGAGACACGGUCCAGACUCCUACGGGAGGCAGCAGUGGGGAAUAUUGCACAAUGGGCGCAAGCCUGAUGCAGCCAUGCCGCGUGUAUGAAGAAGGCCUUCGGGUUGUAAAGUACUUUCAGCGGGGAGGAAGGGAGUAAAGUUAAUACCUUUGCUCAUUGACGUUACCCGCAGAAGAAGCACCGGCUAACUCCGUGCCAGCAGCCGCGGUAAUACGGAGGGUGCAAGCGUUAAUCGGAAUUACUGGGCGUAAAGCGCACGCAGGCGGUUUGUUAAGUCAGAUGUGAAAUCCCCGGGCUCAACCUGGGAACUGCAUCUGAUACUGGCAAGCUUGAGUCUCGUAGAGGGGGGUAGAAUUCCAGGUGUAGCGGUGAAAUGCGUAGAGAUCUGGAGGAAUACCGGUGGCGAAGGCGGCCCCCUGGACGAAGACUGACGCUCAGGUGCGAAAGCGUGGGGAGCAAGCAGGAUUAGAUACCCUGGUAGUCCACGCCGUAAACGAUGUCGACUUGGAGGUUGUGCCCUUGAGGCGUGGCUUCCGGAGCUAACGCGUUAAGUCGACCGCCUGGGGAGUACGGCCGCAAGGUUAAAACUCAAAUGAAUUGACGGGGGCCCGCACAAGCGGUGGAGCAUGUGGUUUAAUUCGAUGCAACGCGAAGAACCUUACCUGGUCUUGACAUCCACGGAAGUUUUCAGAGAUGAGAAUGUGCCUUCGGGA
Molecule: ribosomal RNA, 1027 nt
Filed under: Shigella flexneri 2a
Lineage: Bacteria; Pseudomonadati; Pseudomonadota; Gammaproteobacteria; Enterobacterales; Enterobacteriaceae
Description: bacterial SSU rRNA
Rfam family: Bacterial small subunit ribosomal RNA
Source: RNAcentral